AGUAACGGCGAGUGAAGCGGCAACAGCUCAAAUUUGAAAUCUGGCUCCUUCAGGGUCCGAGUUGUAAUUUGUAGAAGAUGCUUCGGGUGUAGCACCGGUCUAAGUUCCUUGGAACAGGACGUCAUAGAGGGUGAGAAUCCCGUAUGUGACUGGCUGCCUUCGCCUAUGUGAAGCUCUUUCGACGAGUCGAGUUGUUUGGGA
RNAcentral lists this ribosomal RNA (201 nucleotides) under Helotiales sp. Its description in RNAcentral is "partial large subunit ribosomal RNA". It matches the Rfam family "Eukaryotic large subunit ribosomal RNA", at positions 82 to 279 of the family's 3401-position model. The record is from RNAcentral. Lineage: Eukaryota; Fungi; Ascomycota; Leotiomycetes; Helotiales.